CUCUUAUCAAGAGAGGUGGAGGGAUGUGCCCUAUGAAACCCGGCAACCGUCAGUAUACUGAAACGGUGCCAAUUCACACAAAGCGUCAUGCUUUGAUAGAUGAGAG
The sequence is a regulatory RNA element, 106 nucleotides long. It matches the Rfam family "SAM riboswitch aptamer (S box leader)". From Rfam's summary of the family: The SAM riboswitch is found upstream of a number of genes which code for proteins involved in methionine or cysteine biosynthesis in Gram-positive bacteria. The SAM riboswitch acts at the level of transcription termination control. The record is from Rfam.